Molecule: long non-coding RNA, 399 nt
Organism: Perca flavescens (yellow perch)
Lineage: Eukaryota; Metazoa; Chordata; Actinopteri; Perciformes; Percidae
Exons: 3
Source: RefSeq, a predicted model, not a curated record
UGUUACCCCGGAAGUCCUAGCGUCAUUUAAACCUGAGAAUUGCGGCAAAUUUUCCUUUAUAAAACAAUGAGAGCACAUGCUGGAGAUCACUAUAUUUCGGGGGACUGGCCCGGAGCCUGAGACUCUUCUGCUUGAGGCUGCUGCAUGUCGUGGUUCACAGCGACUACAGCAGCACAGAGCAUCAGCAGCAGGACACUGAGCACUGAGCAUCGCACUUUGAAGAAGGUGGAGUAAAUCCCAAAGGGCUCCAUGUACACUAACACAGUUCUCUCUGUUGACAAACACUGAUAAACAUAUUGUUCAUAAACUACACACCAGUACUCCCCUGCGUCUCCCACUGAGAUAUUAGAGAUAACCAGGCUCCCAUUAUCACGGAACCAGCUCACUCUGCUCAUUCUC